UACGUAGGGCGCAAGCGUUAUCCGGAAUUACUGGGCGUAAAGGGCGCGUAGGCGGCCUUCUAAGUCGAACGUGAAAUCCCCGGGCUCAACCCGGGAACUGCGUCCGAUACUGGAAGGCUUGAAUCCGGGAGAGGGAUGCGGAAUUCCAGGUGUAGCGGUGAAAUGCGUAGAUAUCUGGAGGAACACCGGUGGCGAAGGCGGCAUCCUGGACCGGUAUUGACGCUGAGGCGCGAAAGCCAGGGGAGCAAACGGG
RNAcentral lists this ribosomal RNA (253 nucleotides) under uncultured bacterium. RNAcentral describes it as "partial 16S ribosomal RNA". It matches the Rfam family "Bacterial small subunit ribosomal RNA", at positions 524 to 776 of the family's 1533-position model. The record is from RNAcentral.